This 286-nucleotide long non-coding RNA is filed under the name Rattus norvegicus (Norway rat). RNAcentral describes it as "long non-coding RNA NONRATT027063". Lineage: Eukaryota; Metazoa; Chordata; Mammalia; Rodentia; Muridae. The record is from RNAcentral.
CCCCCCCCUCCCCCCCCAGAAUGCUGCAUGUAGACCGGCGCAUCCUGCAGAAUGCUGUACGCAACGUCCUCGAUGGAGAACUGCUGAACCGUUACCUAUACCUCAGCACCAUGGAGCGCAGUGAGCUGGCCAAGAAGAUAGGCACCACACCUGACAUCAUCCUGGACGACUUGCUGGAGACAGACCGCGUCACGGCUCACUUCUAACUCUAGGAUGCCACACCCUGCUGUUGUAUACCUCCCUCUUCCCGUUUUGUAUAAAACACAAAGAAAACAAUUUCUUUCAG